RNAcentral lists this ribosomal RNA (253 nucleotides) under uncultured bacterium. RNAcentral's name for it is "partial 16S ribosomal RNA". It matches the Rfam family "Bacterial small subunit ribosomal RNA", at positions 524 to 776 of the family's 1533-position model. The record is from RNAcentral.
UACGUAGGGUCCGAGCGUUGUCCGGAAUUAUUGGGCGUAAAGAGCUCGUAGGCGGUCUGUCGCGUCUGCUGUGAAAACUCGGGGCUUAACCCCGGGCCUGCAGUGGGUACGGGCAGACUAGAGUGCGGUAGGGGAGACUGGAAUUCCUGGUGUAGCGGUGAAAUGCGCAGAUAUCAGGAGGAACACCAAUUGCGAAGGCAGCUCGCUGGGACGUUACUGACGCUGAGACGCGAAAGCGUGGGGAGCAAACAGG